UGGGGAAUAUUGGACAAUGGGGGCAACCCUGAUCCAGCCAUGCCGCGUGUGUGAAGAAGGCCUUUUGGUUGUAAAGCACUUUAAGCAGGGAGGAGAGGCUAAUGGUUAAUACCCAUUAGAUUAGACGUUACCUGCAGAAUAAGCACCGGCUAACUCUGUGCCAGCAGCCGCGGUAAAUACAGAGGGUGCGAGCGUUAAUCGGAAUUACUGGGCGUAAAGCGAGUGUAGGUGGCUCAUUAAGUCACAUGUGAAAUCCCCGGGCUUAACCUGGGAACUGCAUGUGAUACUGGUGGUGCUAGAAUAUGUGAGAGGGGAAGUAGAAUUCCCAGGUGUAGCGGUGAAAUGCGUAGAGAUCUGGAGGAAUACCGAUGGCGAAGGCAGCUUCCUGGCAUAAUAUUGACACUGAGAUUCGAAAGCGUGGGUAGCAAAACAGGAUUAGAUACCCUGGUAGUCCACGCCGUAAAACGAUGUCUACUAGCCGUUGGGGUCCUUGAGACUUUAGUGGCGCAGUUAACGCGAUAAGUAGACCGCCUGGGGAGUACGGCCGCAAGGUUAAAAACU
This 561-nucleotide ribosomal RNA is filed under the name uncultured bacterium. RNAcentral's name for it is "partial 16S ribosomal RNA". It matches the Rfam family "Bacterial small subunit ribosomal RNA", at positions 355 to 901 of the family's 1533-position model. The record is from RNAcentral.